Molecule: ribosomal RNA, 960 nt
Filed under: uncultured fungus
Lineage: Eukaryota; Fungi
Description: SSU rRNA
Rfam family: Eukaryotic small subunit ribosomal RNA
Source: RNAcentral
GCAGCAGGCGCGCAAAUUACCCAAUCCUGAUACAGGGAGGUAGUGACAAUAAAUAACAAUACAGAACUUUCGAGUUUUGUAAUUGGAAUGAGAACAAUUUAAAUCCCUUAACGAGGAACAAUUGGAGGGCAAGUCUGGUGCCAGCAGCCGCGGUAAUUCCAGCUCCAAUAGCGUAUAUUCAAGUUGUUGCAGUUAAAAAGCUCGUAGUUGAAUUUUGGCGCUGGUUGUGUGGUUUGGACUCGCGUUCAAUACUGCAGGACUGGCGCUUUCCUUCUAGGGAACUAGCGUGCCAUUAAUUUGGUGGGCUAGGGAUCUAGGACUGUUACUUUGAAAAAAUUAGAGUGUUUAAAACAGGCUUACGCUUGAAUACAUUAGCAUGGAAUAACGGAAUAGGACUUUGUCUUAUUUUGUUGGUUUAGGAGACAAAGUAAUGAUUAAUAGGGACGGUUAGGGGCAUUAGUAUUCCACAGUCAGAGGUGAAAUUCUUGGAUUUGUGGAAGACUAACUUCUGCGAAAGCAUUUGCCAGGCACGCUUUCAUUAAUCAGGAACGAAAGUUAGGGGAUCGAAGACGAUCAGAUACCGUCGUAGUCUUAACAGUAAACGAUGCCGAUUCAGGAUCCUAGGGUGUUAUAUUAUUGACCUCUAGGGCACUGUAUGAGAAAUCAAAAUUUUUGGGUUCCGGGGGGAGUAUGGUCGCAAGGCUGAAACUUAAAGGAAUUGACGGAAGGGCACCACCAGGAGUGGAGCCUGCGGCUUAAUUUGACUCAACACGGGGAAACUCACCAGGUCCAGACAUAAGUAGGAUUGACAGAUUGAUAGCUCUUUCUUGAUUUUAUGGGUGGUGGUGCAUGGCCGUUCUUAGUUGGUGGAGUGAUUUGUCUGGUUAAUUCCGUUAACGAACGAGACCUUAACCUGCUAAAUAGUUGUGCCAACUUUGGUUGGCAUCGACUUCUUAGAGG